This 207-nucleotide ribosomal RNA is filed under the name uncultured bacterium. RNAcentral describes it as "partial 16S ribosomal RNA". It matches the Rfam family "Bacterial small subunit ribosomal RNA", at positions 568 to 774 of the family's 1533-position model. The record is from RNAcentral.
CUCGUAGGCGGUUCGUCGCGUCCGGUGUGAAAGUCCAUCGCUUAACGGUGGAUCCGCGCCGGGUACGGGCGGGCUUGAGUGCGGUAGGGGAGACUGGAAUUCCCGGUGUAACGGUGGAAUGUGUAGAUAUCGGGAAGAACACCAAUGGCGAAGGCAGGUCUCUGGGCCGUCACUGACGCUGAGGAGCGAAAGCGUGGGGAGCGAAAC